AGGGUUGUUACAUGGCCUAGGACGUGCUGGGGCUCGUGGAUCAAGAGUUUCUGAGGGGCAUCGAGCAAGUGUCCUGGAACGCUGGUCAGUAAUUUCUGCGUAUGUGGUUGAAAUCGAAAGCCUCUUUAGGAGCAACUUCAUUCCUGAAGAAUCUGUGCCAUUCUCUUUUACCACGAUGUAGGCUUUGGGGAGGAAAGGCUCUGGGGAGGCCGAGCUUAUAAGGAGCUACACUUCCUGUUACUUUAAGCAACUGAGAACACCAGGAAGAGCAUGGUCCUUUGGUUUGGCUCCGGCUACCAUGGGCAAGAGGGGCCUUGGCCCAGACUGUCUGAAUCCCUCAGUGGGGCAAGAUUUUCAUUUUGAGGCCAAGCAUUUGGAGGCUGGCUUCCACCUUUCGGCUCUCUAAUGAUGCCAGAGGCAGAAAGGACACAGCUUGACUCUCGAAUUCCAGCGUUCGUCCAUUUCAGGGAUGAGCAGAAAGAAAAAAAAGAGAAAAGAAAGAAAAGAAAAAGCCCUUCGGCUCACAAAGUAAGAAUCUUUGAAAUGAAAGUUCUGCAGAGAGUAAAUAUGAAGCGCCACAAUGCCAUCUCUGGAGCCACAUUUCAGAGCACGAGGGCAAUUCCACUAUGUAACGGAAGGUUGAGAGAUUUCAUGUUCCUUAAUUAAAACAUAUCUCGGGAGCCAGUGGGAGGCACCUGCACAGCCCCUACCUGAAGAUGCCGAUUUACAGAAAAACUUCCAGCCGUGGGAUUCAUACAAGGGACACGCUGGCAAUUGUGAGUUUCUUUUCAAAUCGGCCUCUGUCUGUCAUACCUAUGUAGUUACAAAAUCAAAAGGGAUAAUAAAGUUCAAUUGUAUAUUCA
This is a long non-coding RNA of Herpailurus yagouaroundi (jaguarundi), 863 nucleotides long. RefSeq lists it as uncharacterized. The record is from RefSeq and is a predicted model, not a curated record. The transcript has 2 exons. NCBI's taxonomy places the organism in Eukaryota, Metazoa, Chordata, Mammalia, Carnivora, Felidae.